GAUUCCAGGAAUGUCACUCUGAAGUCUAGAACAGGGGUUCUCAAACUGUGGGUCAGGACCCCAAAGUGGGUCAUGACCCCAUUUGAAUGGGGUCACCACAGCUGGUGUUAGACUUGCUGGGUUCCAGGGCCGAAGCCCGAGCCCCACCACGCAGGGCCAAAGCUUCAGCCCUGGGCAGGUGGGCUAAACUUACAUGCACGCUGCCCAGGGCAGAAGCUCUGGGGCAGCUUUGCCACCCCACUUCCUCCCCCCCUCCCCCCCCGAAGUGAGUCACAGUGCCGUUUGAGAACUCCUGGCCUGGAACAUCUGUUGAGUCAGCGUGGAGCAGUGGAAAGAGCUACAGAGUCUGAGGCUACAGAAAACUCUGAAGAGAUUUAGGAUGCAAUUUGUAGAGCUUGUUGAAGAGGUCUGCUGUUGUAAUGGCUGCAGAGGGCAGCAACAUCAUGCAUGAGGAUAUAAAAGGUCUAAGCCAAUGCAUGUUGAAGUCAAUGGGAACUGGUAAAAAAGUGCAGUGACAUCAAGGAAACUACUCCCAGUGCACAAACUUCAGCACAUGCAUAAGUCUUUGGAGGAUCAAGGUUUGACUGUAAGCUGUUUGGGGCAAGGUUAAUCAUUUUCUAUAUGUUUA
Molecule: long non-coding RNA, 628 nt
Organism: Mauremys mutica (yellowpond turtle)
Lineage: Eukaryota; Metazoa; Chordata; Testudines; Geoemydidae
Exons: 3
Source: RefSeq, a predicted model, not a curated record